AACCAAGCAUGGCGGUCCGCUAUGAUAUAUGCUUUAUGGUAUGGAUAAAAAAAAUGGCAGUGCUGUUGACGUUAGUAAACAAAACACUUCAGGAAACAAUCUAAACUUAUUAAUAUCAAAACUAGAUUUUAUUGCCAUACUGAAGUCGCAUCCAUAGUUGCAAGGAGCUAACAGUAUUACAUGCAUUGGAUCACUGAAGGGAACAGUGAGGGGGAAACAAAGCGCAGUGAGCCGAUGCCAUUCACUGGAAGCAGCCACUCCAAGACCUGGGUACC
Long non-coding RNA from Gigantopelta aegis, 275 nucleotides. RefSeq lists it as uncharacterized. NCBI's taxonomy places the organism in Eukaryota, Metazoa, Mollusca, Gastropoda, Neomphalida, Peltospiridae. The transcript has 3 exons. The record is from RefSeq and is a predicted model, not a curated record.